ACUCAAAGGAAUUGACGGGGACCCGCACAAGCGGUGGAGCGUGUUGUUUAAUUCGAUGGUAAGCGAAGAACCUUACCAAGGCUUGACUUCCUUGGAAGUCCUCCGAAAGGAGGAUGUGCCUUCGGGAACCAAGUGACAGGUGUUGCAUGGCCGUCUUCAGCUCGUGUCGUGAGAUGUUUGGUUAAGUCCAUCAACGAGCGCAACCCUUAUAGUUAGUUGAAUUUCUCUAGCUAGACUGCCCUGGUAACAGGGAGGAAGGAGGGGAUGAUGUCAGGUCAGUAUUACCCUUAUGCCUUGGGCUACAAACACGCUACAAUGGCCAGUACAGAGGGCAGCCAAGUCGCGAGACGGAGCAAAUCCCAUCAAAGCUGGUCUCAGUUCGGAUAGCAGGCUGAAACUCGCCUGCUUGAAGCUGGAAUCGCUAGUAACGGUAAGUCAGCACAUUACCGUGAAUACGUUCCCGGGUCUUGUACACACCGCCCGU
RNAcentral lists this ribosomal RNA (484 nucleotides) under uncultured bacterium. Its description in RNAcentral is "partial 16S ribosomal RNA". It matches the Rfam family "Bacterial small subunit ribosomal RNA", at positions 899 to 1397 of the family's 1533-position model. The record is from RNAcentral.